RNAcentral lists this ribosomal RNA (466 nucleotides) under uncultured bacterium. Its description in RNAcentral is "partial 16S ribosomal RNA". It matches the Rfam family "Bacterial small subunit ribosomal RNA", at positions 29 to 523 of the family's 1533-position model. The record is from RNAcentral.
AACGAACGCUGGCGGUAUGCUUAACACAUGCAAGUCGAACGAACAAAAUUGGGGCUUGCUCCAAUUUUAGUGAGUGGCAAACGGGUGAGUAACACGUGGGAAUCUACCUAUCAGUACGGAAUAACAUUUGGAGACAGAUGCUAAUACCGUAUAUUCUCCAAGGAGGAAAGAUUUAUCGCUGAUAGAUGAGCCCGCGCAAGAUUAGGUAGUUGGUAGGGUAAUGGCCUACCAAGCCGACGAUCUUUAGCUGGUCUGAGAGGAUGAUCAGCCACACUGGGACUGAGACACGGCCCAGACUCCUACGGGAGGCAGCAGUGGGGAAUAUUGGACAAUGGGCGAAAGCCUGAUCCAGCAAUACCGCGUGAAUGAUGAAGGCCUUAGGGUUGUAAAGUUCUUUUAGUUGGAAAGGUAACGACGGUACCAACAGAAAAAGCCCCGGCUAACUCCGUGCCAGCCGCCGCCGUAA